UGCCUUUCAUACUUUCAACUUUAUCUGUUGAACUGCAGAUGGCUUUCCGUUAAAAAAAAAAAUGCAGCCUUUGAUAUAUAGAUGAUUGUAUAGAAUAUAUUUGGUUGAUCCCACUAAUGUAGCCCUUUUUUCCUUGCUAUUCUUGCAGUUCUAUGUCAAUAACAGAACAGAGCUGUGUUAGAAUUCCUUUCAAAAAUUUGAAGACUAUGCGUCCUUAUUCUGAAUUUUCUUCAAUUUGUUGUUUGUUGAUCAUUUAGAAAGCAAAAAUGAAGAGUCAAUGGAGAGAGAUCCUGUGCAACAAAGGAGCUAAACAAUAAUAAUAAUGGGUCGAAAAAUCAAGCAACAGUCUAUUCCUAGGAAACAAAAUGGGGAUGCAUUAUCAAUAAGGACCAGAAUUCAAAAAGAUGUAGGCUUUUUAUAUGCGGUUGUAAGGGACAUGUCAAAUGUUUUGAAGAUCAAGGUAUACUAGGAGUAGAAAAGGUUGGAUAGACGGAAAGUGCAAUAUUUUCAUGCCUGUAGCAUUAAAUUUGUUGAUUUCUUUCUGCAUUUUGCAAUUGUUCAUAGAACAUGUCAAGGAGAGGGCCAUAUGUGGGUUAUGGGAGCUAGCCAACCAAGGUGAAGUUUAAGGAUGUUGAGUCCAAACUUGAGGUGUGUCCACCAAAAAGGAUGAUGGAGAAAGAUUGUAUGGACUACUAAAAUUUCAGUUUUGUAGUAUGUUUUAGCCAGCAUAGGAACUCAAUGGUUGCAAUUAACAUUGUUGUACUGAAAAAGGUUUUUAGUGGCCAUAAUUAGGAAACAACUUAUGUAUAAAUUGGGAAAAUGCAGGAAAAAUAUUAAGAACAAGAAAUUUGAAAAAGAAUCUGGGAAUUGCUAUGUCCUUAAGAAUUUGAAAAAGAAUCUGGGAAUUUGGCUAUUCCACCCUUUAAUAUUCUGUCUUCUUCCAUUUCAUCCACGAACUAUUGCCAACCACCCCAUUAUUGCUUGCCACCACAGCUCGCCAUCGACAUCAUCAAUUCUAUCUCAUGAGCCACCACUUUCAGUUCCUACCCACCAUCAUCUAAGUUCGACCAAUUGUUGCUAGAUGUAAUACAUUGUCGCACUGCACCUGACCCUGAAGAGGACACUAAUGACGAACUUCACAAUAUCUUUGUUCACUCUUGG
Molecule: long non-coding RNA, 1161 nt
Filed under: Phoenix dactylifera (date palm)
Lineage: Eukaryota; Viridiplantae; Streptophyta; Magnoliopsida; Arecales; Arecaceae
Description: long non-coding RNA (PDAC_LNC013469)
Source: RNAcentral